AGUAUAGUAAUUACCUUGGUCUUGUAAGCCAAAAACGGAGAAUACCUACCCUCCCCAAGACUCAAGGAAG
This 70-nucleotide transfer RNA is filed under the name Ursus americanus (American black bear). Its description in RNAcentral is "tRNA-Thr". Lineage: Eukaryota; Metazoa; Chordata; Mammalia; Carnivora; Ursidae. The record is from RNAcentral.